UGAGCAAUCUGCCCUUCUCAUCGGAAUAAGCGUUGGAAACGACGUCUAAUGCCGAAUACGACCUCCUUUCGCAUGAUCGGAGGUGGAAAGCUCCGGUGGAGAAGGAUGAGCUCGCGGCCUAUCAGCUAGUUGGUGUGGGUAAUGGCCCACCAAGGCGACGACGGGUAGCCGGCCUGAGAGGGUGACCGGCCACACUGGGACUGAGACACGGCCCAGACUCCUACAGGAGG
This 230-nucleotide ribosomal RNA is filed under the name uncultured bacterium. RNAcentral describes it as "partial 16S ribosomal RNA". It matches the Rfam family "Bacterial small subunit ribosomal RNA", at positions 118 to 348 of the family's 1533-position model. The record is from RNAcentral.